UACAGAGGUCCCAAGCGUUGUUCGGAUUCACUGGGCGUAAAGGGUGCGUAGGCGGUCGGGUAAGUCUGAUGUGAAAUCUCACAGCUUAACUGUGAAACUGCAUUGGAUACUAUCCGGCUCGAGGAAUGGAGGGGAGACUGGAAUACUUGGUGUAGCAGUGAAAUGCGUAGAUAUCAAGUGGAACACCAGUGGCGAAGGCGGGUUGCUGGGCUGACACUGACGCUGAGGCGCGAAAGCUAGGGGAGCGAACGGG
This 253-nucleotide ribosomal RNA is filed under the name uncultured bacterium. Its description in RNAcentral is "partial 16S ribosomal RNA". It matches the Rfam family "Bacterial small subunit ribosomal RNA", at positions 524 to 776 of the family's 1533-position model. The record is from RNAcentral.